CGAAAAGUGAAGCGACCCCGCGAGGGCAAGCCAACCACAGAAAAGCCAUCUCAGUUCGGAUUGUAGUCUGCAACCCGACUACAUGAAGCUGGAAUCGCUAGUAAUCGCGAAUCAGAAUGUCGCGGUGAAUACGUUCCCGGGUCUUGUACACACCGCCCGUCACACCAUGGGAGCCGGAUAUGCCCGAAGCCGGUGACCUAACCGUAAGGAGGGAGCUGUCGAAGGUGGAGCCGAUGACUGGGGUGAAGUCGUAACAAGGUAGC
This 263-nucleotide ribosomal RNA is filed under the name uncultured bacterium. RNAcentral's name for it is "partial 16S ribosomal RNA". It matches the Rfam family "Bacterial small subunit ribosomal RNA", at positions 1238 to 1500 of the family's 1533-position model. The record is from RNAcentral.